ACGAACGCUGGCGGCAUGCCUAACACAUGCAAGUCGAACGAGACCUUCGGGUCUAGUGGCGCACGGGUGCGUAACGCGUGGGAACCUGCCCUUAGGUUCGGAAUAACUCCCCGAAAGGGGUGCUAAUACCGGAUAAUGUCUUCGGACCAAAGAUUUAUCGCCUUUGGAUGGGCCCGCGUUGGAUUAGCUAGUUGGUAGGGUAAAAGCCUACCAAGGCGACGAUCCAUAGCUGGUCUGAGAGGAUGAUCAGCCACACUGGGACUGAGACACGGCCCAGACUCCCACGGGGGGCAGGAGGGGGGAAUAUUGGACAAGGGGCGAAAGCCUGAUCCAGAAAUGCCGGGUGAGUGAUGAAGGCCUUAGGGUUGUAAAGCUCUUUUACCCGGGAUGAUAAUGACAGUACCGGGAGAAUAAGCCGCGGCUAACCCCGU
This 431-nucleotide ribosomal RNA is filed under the name uncultured bacterium. RNAcentral describes it as "partial 16S ribosomal RNA". It matches the Rfam family "Bacterial small subunit ribosomal RNA", at positions 29 to 506 of the family's 1533-position model. The record is from RNAcentral.